CUACUUACCCUGCAGGCGGGGAGACACCAUGAUCACAAAGGUGGUUUCCCCAGGGUGAGGGUUAUCCUUUGCAUGGUGGAUGUGCUGACCCUUGUGAUUUCCCCAAAUGUGGGAAACUUGACUGCAUAAUUUGUGGGGAACUAUGUACACACUCUCAAAAC
Molecule: small nuclear RNA, 161 nt
Filed under: Chinchilla lanigera (long-tailed chinchilla)
Lineage: Eukaryota; Metazoa; Chordata; Mammalia; Rodentia; Chinchillidae
Description: U1 spliceosomal RNA (ENSCLAG00000020119.1)
Rfam family: U1 spliceosomal RNA
About the family: U1 is a small nuclear RNA (snRNA) component of the spliceosome (involved in pre-mRNA splicing).
Source: Rfam by way of RNAcentral